GUAUGUUAAUUUUGCCCUUUUGUUCUGUCUUGGGAAGUAUAUAAAAGCAACAACGCAAGCUCAGUCUUGUUUUGGUUGCUAGAGGCCCGAUAAUGAAGUCGAAUUUGGUUAUCUUCUUCUUAGUAAGUGUGGGAAUUAUGCUGGCGGUGGCUGCGGAAGCGUCCGCCGAAGACACUUCUUCGGCUCCGGCGGCGGCUCCGGGCAGCGUCAACAACAACGGGAACGCCGGAGUUAAAAACCACGACGGUUCCAGUGGUCAAGGUAGUGAUCGAUACGCAGGCGACCACAACCACGGAAAGACCAAUUAACGACAUGAUUCCCCACUUUAUUAAUGGCUGUUUUCCUUCGACCUGUAUCGCUUUGUAACCGUUUUUUUACAAAUAAACUCUGUAUUUUCGCA
This is a long non-coding RNA of Zophobas morio, 400 nucleotides long. RefSeq lists it as uncharacterized. The transcript is spliced from 3 exons. The record is from RefSeq and is a predicted model, not a curated record. NCBI's taxonomy places the organism in Eukaryota, Metazoa, Arthropoda, Insecta, Coleoptera, Tenebrionidae.